This 497-nucleotide ribosomal RNA is filed under the name uncultured bacterium. RNAcentral describes it as "partial 16S ribosomal RNA". It matches the Rfam family "Bacterial small subunit ribosomal RNA", at positions 28 to 507 of the family's 1533-position model. The record is from RNAcentral.
GAUGAACGCUGGCGGCGUGCCUAAUACAUGCAAGUCGAGCGAACAGACGAGGAGCUUGCUCCUCUGACGUUAGCGGCGGACGGGUGAGUAACACGUGGAUAACCUACCUAUAAGACUGGGAUAACUUCGGGAAACCGGAGCUAAUACCGGAUAAUAUAUUGAACCGCAUGGUUCAAUAGUGAAAGACGGUUUUGCUGUCACUUAUAGAUGGAUCCGCGCCGCAUUAGCUAGUUGGUAAGGUAACGGCUUACCAAGGCAACGAUGCGUAGCCGACCUGAGAGGGUGAUAGGCCACACUGGAACUGAGACACGGUCGAGACUCCUACGGGAGGCAGCAGUAGGGAAUCUUCCGCAAUGGGCGAAAGCCUAACAGGACAACGACGCGUGAGUGAUGAAGGUCUUCGGAUCGUAAAACUCUGUUAUUAGGGAAGAACAAAUGUGUAAGUAACUAUGCACGUCUUGACGGUACCUAAUCAGAGAGCCACGGCUAACUACGUG